Molecule: ribosomal RNA, 253 nt
Filed under: uncultured bacterium
Lineage: Bacteria
Description: partial 16S ribosomal RNA
Rfam family: Bacterial small subunit ribosomal RNA
Source: RNAcentral
UACGGGGGGGGCGAGCGUUGUCCGGAAUUAUUGGGUGUAAAGGGCGCGUAGGCGGAUUUGUAAGUCAGUGGUGAAAUCUCGGGACUUAACUCCGAGUCUGCCGCUGAGACUGCUUUUCUUGAGUGUGGAAGAGGAAAUCGGAAUUCCCGGUGUAGCGGUGAAAUGCGUAGAUAUCGGGAAGAACACCAGUGGCGAAGGCGGAUUUCUGGUCCACAACUGACGCUGAGGCGCGAAAGCGUGGGGAGCAAACAGG